CUAGCCCCCCAGCCCCGCACCGAGCGCCUUCUCCCCAGUCGUGCCCUCUCCGCAGCUCCACGCCGCGUCUUCCCCAAACCGUGCCCUUCGGAGCGGACUCCCAUCCUUCAUCCCGAGCGAGCGAACAACUGUAGGGGACGACGCUCCACUCCUAGCAAGCAGCGGCAGGGGCGGCGGCGGCUGGCACUUCAUCGACUCCUCGAGCAGCAGAUCCACCACUCCUAGCCAUGGAGGAGGUGGGUAUAGGUGGCACGAAGGCUAUUGGGGAUCCGACCAUGGGGGAGGUGUCUGCCUCGGGAGAUCCAGUGGCGGCGCGCAGCCCUCGUGUCCUCAUUGGUGUCAAGCAAGGACGGCCAGAUGCGAGGGGAACGAGGACGACAAGCAUAAUGAGGUAUAGCCUCUGUGUCCGCUCAUGCUCUGUAGGUCCUUGGCUCCGCACAUCAUCUCUGCACAUCAUCUCGUCUGUCCUGCACGGUGCAUCGAGAUCCUUAGAAUCCUGUGGAUGCUGGUGGAGUGGGCCUCGCAGCAGGCCUCGCCGGUGACCGUGUUCCGGAUCUCAAGCAGUCGCCCAUGAGCCUCGGCACAAGAUGCAAGUGCCUGAGAUCUGCAGAAACUUCAGACUACUUGUAGAUUGUUAUUAUUGGCUAACCUGGAGGUACGAGGAUGCUGUGUGGAACGAAGAUUGGAGCUACAUGAAAUGAGGAUGUUGCUCUACUGUAGCACAUCUUAUAUAUAUGGACAACAAGCCAAUUGAAGUGCUCGUGGAUACAAAUGUAUAGUUAUUUUACACUCCUUAGGUUAGAGAUGAAAUCUUUAAUUUCAGACUUAGUUGAUGUGAGCCAGGCUAGUUCAUUGUUGAUAACAUGUAUGAUAAAGUGCUCAUGGAUUUGAAAUUGUAUAUGUAUGUUAUGCUAACUGCUUUAUUUGAUUAUUGUAAUUUUUUUCGCUGUA
Long non-coding RNA from Sorghum bicolor (sorghum), 951 nucleotides. RefSeq lists it as uncharacterized. The record is from RefSeq and is a predicted model, not a curated record. NCBI's taxonomy places the organism in Eukaryota, Viridiplantae, Streptophyta, Magnoliopsida, Poales, Poaceae. The transcript is spliced from 3 exons.